RNAcentral lists this non-coding RNA (29 nucleotides) under Mus musculus (house mouse). Lineage: Eukaryota; Metazoa; Chordata; Mammalia; Rodentia; Muridae. The record is from RNAcentral.
UGGCUGUGUUGCUCCUUCACUGGUGAUGA